UGGAGGUGUAAGAGACCCCCAAGGCGACGAUGGGUAGCCGGCCUGAGAGGGUGACCGGCCACACUGGAACUGAGACACGGUCCAGACUCCUACGAGAGGCAGCAGUGGGGAAUCUUCCGCAAUGGGCGCAAGCCUGACGGAGCAACGCCGCGUGAGUGAAGAAGGCCUUCGGGUUGUAAAACUCUGUCAUCAGGGAAGAAGGAAGUGACGGUACCUGAGGAGGAAGCCCCGGCUAACUACGUGCCAGCAGCCGCGGUAAAACGUAGGGGGCGAGCGUUGUCCGGAAUUACUGGGCGUAAAGGGCGCGUAGGCGGUUAUCCAAGUCAGGGGUGAAAACCUUGGGCUCAACUCAGGGCCUGCCUCUGAAACUGGGUAACUUGAGGGCAGGAGAGGGGAGUGGAAUUCCCAGUGUAGCGGUGAAAUGCGUAGAUAUUGGGAGGAACACCAGUGGCGAAGGCGGCUCUCUGGCCUAACCCUGACGCUGAGGCGCGAAAGCGUGGGGAUCAAACAGGAUUAGAUACCCUGGUAGUCCACGCCGUAAACGAUGGGUGCUAGGUGUAGGAGGUAUCGACCCCUUCUGUGCCGUAGUUAACAC
RNAcentral lists this ribosomal RNA (595 nucleotides) under uncultured bacterium. Its description in RNAcentral is "bacterial SSU rRNA". It matches the Rfam family "Bacterial small subunit ribosomal RNA", at positions 250 to 858 of the family's 1533-position model. The record is from RNAcentral.